GACGAACGCUGGCGGCGUGCUUAACACAUGCAAGUCGAACGGAAAGGCCCUUCGGGGUACUCGAGUGGCGAACGGGUGAGUAACACGUGGGUGAUCUGCCCUGCACUUUGGGAUAAGCCUGGGAAACUGGGUCUAAUACCGAAUAGGACCACGCGCUUCAUGGUGUGUGGUGGAAAGCUUUUGCGGUGUGGGAUGGGCCCGCGGCCUAUCAGCUUGUUGGUGGGGUAAUGGCCUACCAAGGCGACGACGGGUAGCCGGCCUGAGAGGGUGACCGGCCACACUGGGACUGAGAUACGGCCCAGACUCCUACGGGAGGCAGCAGUGGGGAAUAUUGCACAAUGGGCGCAAGCCUGAUGCAGCGACGCCGCGUGAGGGAUGACGGCCUUCGGGUUGUAAACCUCUUUCAAUAGGGACGAAGCGCAAGUGACGGUACCUAUAGAAGAAGCACCGGCCAACUACGUGCCAGCAGCCGCGGUAAUACGUAGGGUGCGAGCGUUGUCCGGAAUUACUGGGCGUAAAGAGCUCGUANGUGGUUUGUCGCGUUGUUCGUGAAAACUCACAGCUUAACUGUGGGCGUGCGGGCGAUACGGGCAGACUAGAGUACUGCAGGGGAGACUGGAAUUCCUGGUGUAGCGGUGGAAUGCGCAGAUAUCAGGAGGAACACCGGUGGCGAAGGCGGGUCUCUGGGCAGUAACUGACGCUGAGGAGCGAAAGCGUGGGGAGCGAACAGGAUUAGAUACCCUGGUAGUCCACGCCGUAAACGGUGGGUACUAGGUGUGGGUUCCUUCCUUGGGAUCCGUGCCGUAGCUAACGCAUUAAGUACCCCGCCUGGGGAGUACGGCCGCAAGGCUAAAACUCAAAGGAAUUGACGGGGGCCCGCACAAGCGGCGGAGCAUGUGGAUUAAUUCGAUGCAACGCGAAGAACCUUACCUGGGUUUGACAUGCACAGGACGCCGGCAGAGAUGUCGGUUCCCUUGUGGCCUGUGUGCAGGUGGUGCAUGGCUGUCGUCAGCUCGUGUCGUGAGAUGUUGGGUUAAGUCCCGCAACGAGCGCAACCCUUGUCCUAUGUUGCCAGCGGGUUAUGCCGGGGACUCGUAGGAGACUGCCGGGGUCAACUCGGAGGAAGGUGGGGAUGACGUCAAGUCAUCAUGCCCCUUAUGUCCAGGGCUUCACACAUGCUACAAUGGCCGGUACAAAGGGCUGCGAUGCCGUGAGGUGGAGCGAAUCCUUUCAAAGCCGGUCUCAGUUCGGAUCGGGGUCUGCAACUCGACCCCGUGAAGUCGGAGUCGCUAGUAAUCGCAGAUCAGCAACGCUGCGGUGAAUACGUUCCCGGGCCU
Molecule: ribosomal RNA, 1337 nt
Filed under: uncultured bacterium
Lineage: Bacteria
Description: bacterial SSU rRNA
Rfam family: Bacterial small subunit ribosomal RNA
Source: RNAcentral